This 295-nucleotide unclassified non-coding RNA is filed under the name Conocybe macrocephala. RNAcentral's name for it is "partial contains 5.8S ribosomal RNA, internal transcribed spacer 2, and large subunit ribosomal RNA". Lineage: Eukaryota; Fungi; Basidiomycota; Agaricomycetes; Agaricales; Bolbitiaceae. The record is from RNAcentral.
CGCACCUUGCGCUCCUUGGUAUUCCGAGGAGCAUGCCUGUUUGAGUGUCAUUAAAUUCUCAAUCUCUACAACCUUGUGUUGUUAGUUGAUUGGACGUGGGGGUCUUUGUGGGUCCACUGAUGUGGAUCUACUCCCCUGAAAUGUAUUAGCUGGAAUGCCUUUGCAAGUUCCAACUAUCAGUAUGAUAAUUAUCUAUGCUGGUGUUGUUGUGAAGGGGAUCUGCUUUCAAACUGUCCAUUGUGACGAUGUGAACCAAUUUGACCUCAAAUCAGGUAGGACUACCCGCUGAACUUAA